GGGCAGGUGUCAGAGUGGUCGAAUGAGCACGCUUGGAAAGCGUGUGUGCUGGUAACAGUACCGAGGGUUCGAAUCCCUCCCUGUCCGCCA
Molecule: transfer RNA, 90 nt
Filed under: Luteolibacter sp.
Lineage: Bacteria; Pseudomonadati; Verrucomicrobiota; Verrucomicrobiia; Verrucomicrobiales; Verrucomicrobiaceae
Also listed under: 3 other names
Description: tRNA-Ser
Rfam family: tRNA
About the family: Transfer RNA (tRNA) molecules are approximately 80 nucleotides in length.
Source: RNAcentral